Thamnophis elegans (Western terrestrial garter snake) is the source of this 666-nucleotide long non-coding RNA. RefSeq lists it as uncharacterized. NCBI's taxonomy places the organism in Eukaryota, Metazoa, Chordata, Lepidosauria, Squamata, Natricidae. The record is from RefSeq and is a predicted model, not a curated record. The transcript is spliced from 3 exons.
GAUACAUUUUGAAAAAGUUGGACAAAGUUUCUUUGAAAUGUCUCACAAGAUUGUUCUCCGACUCUGCUUCUCAGUGCUUUUCUUAAGAGCUGGUACACUGUGAGAGGUGAUGCACCAAAGACAAAUUCCUUGUGUGUCCAAUCACACUUGGCCAAUAAAGAAUUCCCUUCUGCUCUGUCCUAUUAACGGAGGACAUUUCUUGGGUGAGAAGUGAAAGCAAAGGAAAUCCAGUUGCCUCCUGAAAAAGCACCUUCGGGAUGAGAUCUGCUGCUUGAGCAGAGGGUUGGGCUAGAAGACCUCUAAGGUCCCUUGCAGCUGGCUUGUUCUUAUUGUGUCAGCUGAGAAGGGAACUUCCUCCACCGCUCUAAGCCUCACUGGGCUCCAGCAUCAGAUUAGCUCAGGUCUUCAGUGCAAAACGAGGAGAACAUUAAAAGAGCAGAAAACUCUGUGGCCCCUUCAGCUUUCACUCGCCUGGCUACGCCCCCAGACCUCCCAACCCACCUUGCCUAGGGGAGGACCCCGGAGGGAGGGAACGGCUGCAGUCCAAGGAGGGACCCUCGGCCUCCCCCUGCCUGAAUGUGAGGACCGGGCGGAGGUUUUUCUCCUGUGUGGAUCCUCUGAUGUCUAUAAAGGCUGCUCCUCUCAGUGAAGCUCUUUCCACACUCC